AUUGAACGCUGGCGGCAGGCCUAACACAUGCAAGUCGAACGAGUGGCGGACGGGUGAGUAAUGUCUGGGAAACUGCCCGAUGGAGGGGGAUAACUACUGGAAACGGUAGCUAAUACCGCAUACCAUCGGAUGUGCCCAGAUGGGCUUAGCUAGUAGGGGGGGUAACGGCUCACCGAGGCGACGAUCCCUAGCUGGUCUGAGAGGAUGACCAGCCACCCGGUAACUGAGACACGGUCCAGACUCCUACGGGAGGCAGCAGUGGGGAAGUUUGCACAAUGGGCGCAAGCCUGAUGCAGCCAUGCCGCGUGUGGGAAGAAGGCCGUCGGGUUGUAAAGCACUUGCAGCGGGGAGGCGUUACCCGCAGAAGAAGCACCGGCUAACUCCGUGCCAGCAGCCGCGGUAAUAC
RNAcentral lists this ribosomal RNA (406 nucleotides) under uncultured bacterium. Its description in RNAcentral is "partial 16S ribosomal RNA". It matches the Rfam family "Bacterial small subunit ribosomal RNA", at positions 29 to 526 of the family's 1533-position model. The record is from RNAcentral.